GAAUCCUGCCAAGCAGAAUGACUAGAGAACUCGUAACGAACCCAAUGGGGACGGCGGGAUUUCUCCCAUCGUCCCUCGACGCCGGGAUUGCACGGGCGCCCAGAGCGCUCGGGCUUUUCUCGGCGGCACAACGAACCCCGGCGCGGAACGCGCCAAGGAACUUGAACAAGAGAGCGAUGCUCCCAUCACCCCAGACAUGGUGCGUGUGUGGGAUGCCAUCCAAUCUCCUAUUUAUUCAUAACGACUCUCGGCAACGGAUAUCUCGGCUCUCGCAUCGAUGAAGAACGUAGCGAACUGCGAUACUUGGUGUGAAUUGCAGAAUCCCGUGAACCAUCGAGUCUUUGAACGCAAGUUGCGCCCGAAGCCACUCGGUCGAGGGCACGUUUGCCUGGGUGUCACACACGGCGUUGCCCCUAAUCCCUCGCCCAAUUCUUUGGGCGGGUUACGACUCGGGUGCGUAUGUUGGCCUCCCGUGACGACUUAGUCCCGGUUGGCCCAAAAUCGAGCGCUGGAGCGAUUAGCGCCACGACAUUCGGUGGUUGAUGAGACCCCAAUGAUCAAUGUCAUGCGUGUCGCUCCUGCGUCCGCUCCACGAAUCUACUCUUUUACCAACGCGAC
Molecule: ribosomal RNA, 618 nt
Filed under: Rhodomyrtus locellata
Lineage: Eukaryota; Viridiplantae; Streptophyta; Magnoliopsida; Myrtales; Myrtaceae
Description: eukaryotic LSU rRNA
Rfam family: 5.8S ribosomal RNA (bases 243-398)
Source: RNAcentral